Molecule: ribosomal RNA, 467 nt
Filed under: uncultured bacterium
Lineage: Bacteria
Description: partial 16S ribosomal RNA
Rfam family: Bacterial small subunit ribosomal RNA
Source: RNAcentral
GACGAACGCUGGCGGCGUGCUUAACACAUGCAAGUCGAACGGAAAGGCCCUGCUUUUGUGGGGUGCUCGAGUGGCGAACGGGUGAGUAACACGUGAGUAACCUGCCCUUGACUUUGGGAUAACUUCAGGAAACUGGGGCUAAUACCGGAUAGGAGCUCCUGCUGCAUGGUGGGGGUUGGAAAGUUUCGGCGGUUGGGGAUGGACUCGCGGCUUAUCAGCUUGUUGGUGGGGUAGUGGCUUACCAAGGCUUUGACGGGUAGCCGGCCUGAGAGGGUGACCGGCCACAUUGGGACUGAGAUACGGCCCAGAGUCCUACGGGCGGCAGCAGUGGGGAAUAGUGCACAAUGGGCGGAAGCCUGAUGCAGCAACGCCGCGUGCGGGAUGACGGCCUUCGGGUUGUAAACCGCUUUCGCCUGUGACGAAGCGUGAGUGACGGUAAUGGGUAAAGAAGCACCGGCUAACUACGU